Molecule: long non-coding RNA, 1852 nt
Organism: Haliotis rufescens (red abalone)
Lineage: Eukaryota; Metazoa; Mollusca; Gastropoda; Lepetellida; Haliotidae
Exons: 4
Source: RefSeq, a predicted model, not a curated record
GUUCAUAUAUGUUGUUUAAUGCGUGAUAGGUAUUACCGCUUAAAAGGUGGUUUUGUAUUUAUAAUAAAAACUGAUCGUUUACAUUUAACAUAGAAUAUAAAAAUAGUUUUGUCUGGGUAGCAACAUAACUGUUGCAUAGGGUAUGUUGUUUAAUGAUAAUACUAUAUGAAAAUUCCUCGAGCCAGCUGACUUACACUAUGGAUAGUGUACAAGACAACAGUUAUAGAACAUCACGUGAUAAGGUUGAUGGAAAUGGCGAAAUAUUUAUUUACAAUAUAUUUGUUUCCAGGGGAAGAGCCUGUUACAAAGUCUGUGUCUAAAAAAAAGUAAACUCGCUCCUUGUCGGACAAAACUGAAUGUAAUUAAGUUAACUACCUAUGUACAUUAUCAGUGGAGUACUUGAAUUAAUAUCAAAUUGUAACCCGAGAUGCUGGUGCCACACCUUAUUACGUGACCACCCAGUGAGGCGUGAACACUCAGGGGCAUGAUAUACACCCUUGUGUUUGAUUUGAUAUACCAAUCAGCCGUGGACGCCCGACCAUAAAAAUGGUAUAUAUAGAUUUAACCCUAAUCAGGUAUCGUUAAAUAUCGUUAAAUCGUCGAGAACGUUCUGUCAGACGAUCAAACGAUAACUAUUCAACCAGUCGGUAAAUCACAUCGAAAACCCAAGUUCUGGUCGCAGUGAGAAGCUCUGGAUGCCUUGAGGAGGGUUCACCAGCUCUGCUUCAACAACGUUGACAUGGGACCAGUAAAGCUGCAAGACUUUGUCGGCCAGUCAAAAGUGGACGCUGCAAUCCAAGGUGAAACUUUCUUUCUCAUGGUGGGGAACACGCAUGAAGAUGUGGAUCAACCGUUUAGUGUAUUUGCAAGGGAACUUAGACAGAAGCCUGCAACAACCCGCGAUGCCCUCCUUCAAGAUUGGGGACAUCCGCACACCCACCACCAAGCUAUCAGACUUCAAGCCCUUCAUGCCUGCCCCAAGGGAAGCGACAACCCUCCCAACUAAAGUUCAAGAGGCAAUAGAGAAGAACAAUGAAAAACUGCAACAAAAUCAAAGAUCACUCUGACAAAGCACCGAAGACAAGCGUCAGUAUCAGAACAAUAAAGAAGGAGCAGCACGUUUUGCUGAAAUGAACAUAUUUUUUGUCUAAGCUAUGUGGCUGAGAUAUUGCCGAGGAUUGCAUUGCAGGAGUUUUGUACUUUGUAUGUUUUUGUUUCUUAGUAAAGCUGUGUAUUUAGAAUUGUAUAUAUAUAUACAUAUAUAAGAUGAGAUGUGCACAAUGAAAUUUAUGAAACAAUAUAUGCAGUUAUAUUGUAAAAUCUUGGUUGUGUUCUAUUUUUUUCCAUGUCUGAAGUUAAACUACUUUCAGAGUACCGUAUAUCACAUGUAGGUUGUUUCUUUGAAUUCCAACCGGGGAUUAUAUAUUUGGUUGGCCCCAUGGAAUAAUUAUGAAAUUUAUUUUUGAGAAUCACAUUCACCUUUAAUGUUGUACACUUCAAAGUCGUCAAAAGGCCAUUGAAGAUGGUCACUGAAAUUCUCAUAAUAAUUUAGAUAAUUAUAGGGUAAGCUCAAGGUUCAAUGAUUUGCAUCUGUCUAGUAUACAAAGGUAUGAGGCCAACAUGUUGUUCCAUUGUUUAAUUCGAGUGACGUCAACUUUUCUUGAUAAAUUUGGUAAACAUAAUACCAAGAUAAAUAUCUUCAAUUGCUGAAUUCAAUUUAAACUUUCCAAAGAUUGAUGGUUGAAAUUACUGCAGAAAAAAAUUCUGCCAGAAAUUUCUGUAGAAAAAAAUAAUUCUGCCAGAAAUUUCUGUAGAAAAAAAAAAUACUGCCAGAAAUUUCGGAGAAUCACAU